RNAcentral lists this ribosomal RNA (509 nucleotides) under uncultured bacterium. RNAcentral describes it as "bacterial SSU rRNA". It matches the Rfam family "Bacterial small subunit ribosomal RNA", at positions 28 to 533 of the family's 1533-position model. The record is from RNAcentral.
GACGAACGCUGGCGGCGUGCUUAACACAUGCAAGUCGAGGGGCAGCAUAGGGUAGCAAUACUCUGAUGGCGACCGGCAAACGGGUGAGUAACGCGUAUGCAACCUACCCUGUACAGGGGGAUAACCCGGAGAAAUUCGGACUAAUAUCCCGUAAUAAUAUCCGGAGGCAUCUUUGGAUAUUUAAAGUUUCGACGGUACGGGAUGGGCAUGCGUAACAUUAGCUGGUUGGUAAGGUAACGGCUUACCAAGGCUAUGAUGUUAGGGGUCCUGAGAGGGUGGUCCCCCAACUGGUACUGAGACACGGACCAGACUCCUACGGGAGCAGCAGUGAGAAUAUUGGUCAAUGGGCCAAGCCUGAACCAGCCAGUCCCGCGUGCAGGAAGACGGCCCUAUGGGUUGUAAACUGCUUUUCCAGGGAGAGAAACUUACGCACGUGUUGCGUGACUGACGGUACCCUGGGAAUAAGCAUCGGCUAACUCCGUGCCAGCAGCCGCGGUAAAACGUAGCGU